AGGCAAUGAGGAGGAACAAAGUCAUGCACCACUCUGAUUUAAUCGGUGUUGAUAAUUGACUCAUAACCCAUAUUUAUCUGAGCCU
Molecule: small nucleolar RNA, 85 nt
Organism: Elaeis guineensis (African oil palm)
Lineage: Eukaryota; Viridiplantae; Streptophyta; Magnoliopsida; Arecales; Arecaceae
Product: small nucleolar RNA Z221/R21b
Source: RefSeq, a predicted model, not a curated record